Lactonifactor longoviformis DSM 17459 is the source of this 102-nucleotide regulatory RNA element. It matches the Rfam family "THF (Tetrahydrofolate) riboswitch aptamer". Rfam says of the family: THF riboswitch presents a pseudoknot that joins P1-P2 and the loop of P3 and two THF binding. The record is from Rfam. NCBI's taxonomy places the organism in Bacteria, Bacillati, Bacillota, Clostridia, Eubacteriales, Clostridiaceae.
AGUAGAGUAAAUAUUGCGCGUAAAGUGCCUUGGGAUGGGAAGUUGCCCUUGGACGAAGGUGGCCGUGAAAUUCUACCACGAUGUAAUAUUGCAUCCGCUACU